GACUUAGCGGAGUGGCGGUACAGUAGGCAAUGAAUUUUUAUUUGAGACACGGUUAUUGCUAGUUGAAAACUCCUCCCAAUAUCUCGCAUUGAUGGUGUGAAAUAUCGUCGGAAGAUGCAAUUUUUCAGGGCCAUAAAAGGC
This 141-nucleotide small nuclear RNA is filed under the name Trichobilharzia regenti. RNAcentral's name for it is "U4 spliceosomal RNA". It matches the Rfam family "U4 spliceosomal RNA". Rfam says of the family: U4 small nuclear RNA (U4 snRNA) is a component of the major U2-dependent spliceosome. The structure of U4 snRNA from yeast and human has been reported. U4 snRNA presents a k-turn RNA motif in the 5p-SL related to recognition of Snu13 protein. The record is from Rfam by way of RNAcentral. Lineage: Eukaryota; Metazoa; Platyhelminthes; Trematoda; Strigeidida; Schistosomatidae.